RNAcentral lists this microRNA precursor (94 nucleotides) under Glycine max (soybean). The record is from RNAcentral. Lineage: Eukaryota; Viridiplantae; Streptophyta; Magnoliopsida; Fabales; Fabaceae.
AGAGUGCUUUUGAGCCAAGGAUGACUUGCCGGCGUAUGUUUGAUCUCUUCUAGGACUGUUGCCGGCGAGACAUCUUGGCUCAUUGGUGCUCUCU